CCCUGGGCUCAACCCAGGAAGUGCAUUGGAUACUGGGAAACUUGAAUACGGGAGAGGGUAGUGGAAUUCCUACUGCACGAGUGAAAUCCGUAGAUAUUAGGAGGACCACCGGUGGCGAAUGCGGCUACCUGGACCGAUUUUGACUCUGAGACGCGAAAGCGUGGGGAGCAAACCGGAUUAAAUACCCUGUUCAGUCCACGCCGUAAACGAUGAGAACUAGGUGUCGCGGGUAAAUCACUACU
This 242-nucleotide ribosomal RNA is filed under the name uncultured Geobacter sp. Its description in RNAcentral is "partial 16S ribosomal RNA". It matches the Rfam family "Bacterial small subunit ribosomal RNA", at positions 601 to 838 of the family's 1533-position model. The record is from RNAcentral. Lineage: Bacteria; Pseudomonadati; Thermodesulfobacteriota; Desulfuromonadia; Geobacterales; Geobacteraceae.